This 2516-nucleotide long non-coding RNA is filed under the name Triticum aestivum (bread wheat). Its description in RNAcentral is "long non-coding RNA (TAES_LNC023993)". Lineage: Eukaryota; Viridiplantae; Streptophyta; Magnoliopsida; Poales; Poaceae. The record is from RNAcentral.
AGAGUUCCAUUGAUAAGCUGAUCUAUGGGUUCAAUACCCAUCAAUGUCAAGAGAAAAAGAUAAUGUGAUGCAUCUCAACUGAUUGAUUGUUUCAGAAGGUUGUGGGAUUUUUUUAAGUUGAAAAUACGGUUACCACACUGAGAAAUUGAAAAAAUAAUCAUAUUUGUAUGUUGGUACCAAGCUUUUAUACAGAAAUUAAAAUAAACUACAUGCCUAAUAUGACUAUUCCAUAGACUGGGAAUAUACUAGGAAAGACACAGAAGCACACACGCAAAGAGGGAAACUGCAUACAUUUAGAUUAUCACAGUGAGCAACUAAGAUUGCUUAUGGCCACCAGAAGUUCUCUAAGUGGCCGAACAACCCUACGGAAGUUGCAGGUGGGCAUGGUGGCAGAUCCGAGCAGCUUUCCUCGCUGGCCGGCUGGUGCUACUACUGAUUUCGUCCUCCCAUUGAUGAAGGUGAUGAUGCAGUAGUCCAAUACAUAUGAAAGCAAGUGGUUUCGUCAUGAAGCAUAUCGUCAUGGUGCAGAUUUGGUUUUCUGAAAUAAGGCAUGAGCAAUUAACAAAAAGAUUCAUCGGAGAUGGCCAGAGAUAUGAAUGCAAACAUGUUAUAAUCACCUUCUUAAAGCAUGCAAACCAGUAAUAUAGGUAACAAACCAUGAGUUCAGCAAGAUUUUGGACACGAAAUAUUAUUUACAUAGCAGGAAAAAGCUUUUGUUGUACAAAACAGUGUCACAAAAAUAUAUCCCAAUAAGAAGCUUGCUUAUUUUCACAUGGUCUGUUUAUAUUUCUGGUAACUAAAACAACAUGGCAAUGAGCAAGAAAAUAAGAGAAUAAAGCUAUAACCAGAUUGUUCAACAAACCUCUAUAGCUUGCAUAUACACCAAUGAAAGCUAGUAAAAAAAGAAGGCACUCAGCAAGCACAAUUCAGAAUUAGAAGUGAGCCUAACCGACGGGAUCAUGGUACUCAACAACGAUAUUUCUGUACAAACCGGAUUAGAACCACAUUUAACUGAAGAAAGUCAUGUUAAUGGAGCAAUAAAGCCUUACAAACAUGGAUAUGAACCGAUGGCACAUGAGCACUCAAUCAAGCAUGAAACAAACCAGCAGGAUAUUGCGGUACAAACUGUAUUAAAACCACAUUUUUUAUGAUGAGCUCCAAAGGAAAACCCCACAAACUGGCUAGCAAUCAGAACAAAUCUAACCUUGCCUUGGGCGUGGACCAAAACAACCAAAACACGGGGCAGCGGAGCAAUGACGACACCAUCCAUCCAUGUAUCAUUGAUGACACUUGAAAACUGAAACGACCCUGAUAAACAGAGUUUCCUGGUGGUAAGGAUGAGACAGGUUCAUUAUCAUAUUUUUCAGGUUUUAGAGCAUAUUCUAAGAUAAGAGCAUCCAUAUUGUCAUUAUUAAUUAAUGGUUAGUGCAUUUGCAAGUAAAAUUGUUGAAGCCAUGAGGUGUAUAACUACAUAGGACUUUUUUGGUAGCUCCAGAUUGGCAGGUAUUGCAUUUGAAAUACGCUAGGUGUAGUAGUUUAAGGCACCAUCAUCAAGAUAACAUCAUUCAUGUGUUCUGUGGUCUCUUUGCCAUCAAAUUAUAUGCUUGGGUUUUCUAGGACGUCUAUAUUUGCAUCUCAAAUGUUGAUGCUUUGCCUGAUUACAACAAUUGCAUUAACCUUGAUUAAUGAUAACCUUGCAUGUCAUGUAAGGAAGAAGAGUGAAGCGAUUUAUGCAUAAGAAUGCCUACCAUUUACAGAUCUGUACCGAAAACAAAAGCAUGAGUGAUAGUGAUAGGGACGCAUACAAAAGCUAUGACUCAAUCCUUGGCACGAGUUCCCGAUUUAAACCAAGUGUUAUUUGCAUAGCAAAGGACUUUAUUUUCAUAUAAAAUUAUUAUAGAUCAAUCUUUAAUGUGGCAGAACCAUAAUUUCAGAACAUAACGCCAAUUAGAGUGCAUUUCAUCCACCUUCAGCAUUGUAAAUCAAGAUAAACAAUGGAGGCCAAGAUAAACAAUAAGUAACGCCAAAAUACUGAUCAUCAACUUAGUGUUUUGUUAAUCGUUCUAUACCAAGCAUGAAUGUUGUUUACACUCUUAUCAUAACUGAUAAAAAAGAUGCAUCCCUAGAACUUAUUAGGCCAAUAAACCAUACAAUGUGAUUUCUUAGGUACUUAGAAACCUCUCAUAGGUUAGUCAAAAGCUCUUUUAUUGAUUUAGAUGUAGUAACCAAGUCAUUGUGUACCUUUUGGCAAGUUCAUGCAUUAUUGCAUCAGCUUUGAGGUCCAUCAAUCAAAACAAAUCCCAAGCACAUGAACUGAGCGAAUACCUGAGAGAACAAAGGAAUAGGUGAGUGUUAUCUAUACAAAAACUAAGACAAUGAAGUAGAAGGGAUAAUUAUUUACAACAGAAGGAAUGGUGGAGUAUAAUAUCUCUACUCGACUCCGAAUUAGCAAAAUAAGAAGACAUGGAAAGGCACUUGAAAAACAUCAUAGCGAAGUUCUUGAGACACUUGAAAAA